GACGAACGCUGGCGGCGUGCUUAACACAUGCAAGUCGAACGGAAAGGCCCGGCUUUGGUGGGGUGCUCGAGUGGCCAACGGGAGAGUAACACGUGAGUAACCUGCCCUUGAGUUUGGGAUAACUUCAGGAAACUGGGGCUAAUACCGGAUAGGAGCUCCUGCUGCAUGGUGGGGGUGGGAAAGUUUCGGCGGUUGGGGAUGGACUCGCGGCUUAUCAGCUUGUUGGUUGGGUAGUGGCUUACCAAGGCUUUGACGGGUAGCCGGCCUGAGAGGGUAACAGGAUCAAUUGGGAUGGAGAUGAGACACAGACCACUACGGGACGCGGCGGUGGAGAAUGGUGUAUAAUGGGAGGAAGGCAAAUGUAGCCAAGCCGCGUGCGGGAUGACGGCAAUGCCGUAGUAAACCGCUUCCGUCUGUGACGAGGAGUGAAUGACGGUAAUGGGUAAAGAAGCACCGGCUAACUACGUG
RNAcentral lists this ribosomal RNA (468 nucleotides) under uncultured bacterium. Its description in RNAcentral is "partial 16S ribosomal RNA". It matches the Rfam family "Bacterial small subunit ribosomal RNA", at positions 28 to 507 of the family's 1533-position model. The record is from RNAcentral.